CUUAGAGUUUGAUNCCCUGGCUCAGAGCGAACGCUGGCGGCANGCUUAACACAUGCAAGUCGAACGGGCACUUCGGUGCUAGUGGCAGACGGGUGAGUAACACGUGGGAACGUACCUUUCGGUUCGGAAUAAUACAGGGAAACUUGUACUAAUACCGGAUACGCCCUUUGGGGGAAAGAUUUAUCGCCGAUUGAUCGGCCCGCGUCUGAUUAGCUAGUUGGUGAGGUAAUGGCUCACCAAGGCGACGAUCAGUAGCUGGUCUGAGAGGAUGAUCAGCCACACUGGGACUGAGACACGGCCCAGACUCCUACGGGAGGCAGCAGUGGGGAAUAUUGGACAAUGGGCGCAAGCCUGAUCCAGCCAUGCCGCGUGUGUGAUGAAGGCCUUAGGGGNGUAAAGCACUUUUGUCCNGGAAGAUAAUGNANGACCGGAAGNUNAGUCCCCUNUAC
This 449-nucleotide ribosomal RNA is filed under the name Allobosea sp. Its description in RNAcentral is "Bosea sp. partial 16S ribosomal RNA". It matches the Rfam family "Bacterial small subunit ribosomal RNA", at positions 1 to 478 of the family's 1533-position model. The record is from RNAcentral. Lineage: Bacteria; Pseudomonadati; Pseudomonadota; Alphaproteobacteria; Hyphomicrobiales; Alloboseaceae.